GACGAACGCUGGCGGCGUGCCUAAUACAUGCAAGUAGAACGCUGAAGAGAGGAGCUUGCUCUUCUUGGAUGAGUUGCGAACGGGUGAGUAACGCGUAGGUAACCUGCCUUGUAGCGGGGGAUAACUAUUGGAAACGAUACCUAAUACCGCAUAACAAUGGAUGACACAUGUCAUUUAUUUGAAAGGGGCAAUUGCUCCACUACAAGAUGGACCUGCGUUGUAUUAGCUAGUAGGUGAGGUAAUGGCUCACCUAGGCGACGAUACAUAGCCGACCUGAGAGGGUGAUCGGCCACCCUGGGACUGAGACACGGCCCAGACUCCUACGGGAGGCAGCAGUAGGGAAUCUUCGGCAAUGGGGGCAACCCUGACCGAGCAACGCCGCGUGAGUGAAGAAGGUUUUCGGAUCGUAAAGCUCUGUUGUAAGUCAAGAACGGGUGUGAGAGUGGAAAGUUCACACUGUGACGGUAGCUUACCAGAAAGGGACGGCUAACUACGUG
RNAcentral lists this ribosomal RNA (497 nucleotides) under uncultured bacterium. RNAcentral's name for it is "partial 16S ribosomal RNA". It matches the Rfam family "Bacterial small subunit ribosomal RNA", at positions 28 to 507 of the family's 1533-position model. The record is from RNAcentral.